AGUGGAAUUGCUGGAUCAUAUGAUAGCUCUAUGUUUAAGCUUUUGAGGAUUUUCCAGAAUGUUUUUCAUAGUGGCUGCACAAUUUUGUAUUCUCACUGGCAAU
Molecule: microRNA precursor, 103 nt
Filed under: Marmota monax (woodchuck)
Lineage: Eukaryota; Metazoa; Chordata; Mammalia; Rodentia; Sciuridae
Source: RNAcentral